RNAcentral lists this unclassified non-coding RNA (2817 nucleotides) under Leishmania donovani. Its description in RNAcentral is "gene:LdHU3.27.1740(CDS-product:hypothetical_prote in_conserved)". Lineage: Eukaryota; Euglenozoa; Kinetoplastea; Trypanosomatida; Trypanosomatidae. The record is from RNAcentral.
CGCUGCGUGUUACACCGAAGCGGCCAACAGUUAAACUGUCUCUCUCUGUCGGUGUGUGUGCACAGGUGCAUUCAGGAGGCGGUGCUGUACCUUGCUCUCCCACACCGACGCCAACUUGUCUACUCGCACGCAAACGUCCAAGCAAAUACGCCCUCGCUCACCUUUGGGGAGGGGGGCUGAGGGGGGCGGCGAAAAAGACAUAAAGCAGCGUCAAGUUAGCGAGACGGGCAGCACUGACAGCUACUGCGGUGGCAGAAUAAGAGAGCCCAGCUCGCAGCUGAGAAAAGCAGAAGCGAACAAUGGGCGCUGCAGCUGCGAAGCCCGUGCGUGAAGCACCUGUCCGGUACGUGGCCAAGCAGAUGCCGCGCCUGGACAAGAUUCCAGUGGAGCAGCAGUUCAAGAAGCCGCAGUUUACGGCACAGGGCAUCAACACUCGCCAGGACGAUGUGAACACCGAACCACUCAUGUACGUGGAGACGUCCAAAGACGCCAGCAGCACCGAGCUGACGGACCAUGUGGCACCGCGGUGGUACUUGAACACGUACCUGGAGAUGUCCGACAACAUGCGCACUGACCAAACGGUGAUUAGCGGCAACCUUCCUCUUGCGUGGGAGCGCGAUAAGCAUGAGCCAUAUUCGCUGGUGCGCGGCCGCAUCGAUGACGAGGACCUUCGCUGGGUUCUCCAACCGGAGCAGCGCAAGAAGCCUCUCGACGAGCUGCUGGGCCAUACGAAACUAGAAAGACAGGUUUUGCAGGACAUCCUCGAUACGGUGGAGCUACCCCGCACACAGUACCGAAACUACAAGGGCAAAUUACACAAAAGCAUCGACGAUGCCAACACUCACAUGACGGCGCGCAAAGAACAAAUCGAGAAGGCUCGGGAGGCGGAGAUCCUGCGUCAGAUUGGAUACACCGAAGAGGAGGUUCUGAAGGAAGAGCAGUACCUGACGAAUCGCUGCCGCGGCGUGCGCACCCUUGACGAACUUGGCGCAAGUGACCGAGAAAAGCGCCGACAGCAGCGGGCGGCCGAGGCGAGCGAGUUAGAGGACAUGCUGAAGGAGCGGCGCAUCGAGCAGCUGGAGCGUGGAGAGGCAACCGUGACGGCAGAGGAGGUGGCUGAAAAGCCGGAGGUGCUGCAGAUGCGCAACAAGCAUUUUAGCACGCACAAGAACGUCUACAAGCGCAUGUACGCUGCAGACAUUGGCAAGGACGAGCGCAACCAGUCAAAGUUUGUGUGGUGGCUCGACCGCACGCGGCGCAUCAAACGCGCCGUGGACACCAUUCACGGUGUUCCGGUCUACAAUGAUCGGCUCUCAGCGAAUGAGGAGCAGACGCGCAAGCAGAUGCAGGAAGCGGCGGAGUUCAACUUCUCAAUAUCGCGGUCGCAGGGCGCGAAGGGGUUCACCGACCCGCGCGGGCACUACGAUCAGUUCAUGGAUAUUAUGCGCUACAACAAGGAGGAGAUGCAGAGCGACACACAUGUUGAGGUCCACGAGGACAGUAGCGCCGAGCACCCCAUCUUUCAGUUCCCCCACACCCGAGAGCACGGCGCGAAGCCAGCGCCGACGCGCUUUGCGGACCGUCGCGACCACGCACAGCGCGUCGACACGGAUGUGACUAAGCUCUUUGGGUUUGAGGGCGAGUCGCCUGCUGCUACCGCUGCUACACCUGCUGCGCCUGUACACAGUAAAUCGUCUCCGUCAAAGCAGGCAACCAGGGGGGCUGACGGGCUCACGUACCCGAGCGGUCGGGCGAGUGCAGGCGGUUGGGAGAAGGCGAAGGGCGCGAGUGGCUCCACACCAGCAGCAUGCACAGAGGCUUCGCCGCCGACAAACAGGGAUGAGCGGGAGCACUGAGUUUUUAUUUCCUCCUCCCUCCCCUUGCACGCAUGCACACCGUUGCGACUCUAGGUGGGCCUCGGCGCAUCCGCUGGGGUGACAGAGGCGAUCCUGCGCGCCGCCUGCUCUUCCAUGGAUGUGCCCGACACGACCUUUUGCGGACACUCGGCUCGCACGUCUGCCGCACCUCGAGGUCACAUAUAAGAGCUCCUUGUGUAUGAUUGCGCCGCGCGCGUCUAAGUGCAGACUCGUGCCGGCCUUCACAGGGCUAGAAAUCGACGAUGUCUUGCUGAGUUUGGCUUCCCUCUGCCUACUGUACAUGUUUGUGUGCUUAUGUGAAGGGGGUGGAGUCGGAGGUAGGAGGUUGAGUGUUCGAUGUGCAAGAGGUCAGAAAAGGGAAAAUAGAAUAUCGACAGCGCACUGACGCUGAACAAAAGAAGACAAAGACGAUUCACGCAGACGUAUGCGAAGAGUCUCGGUGAGGGGGAGGGAGGGGCAGGGAUCGAGCCGGAGGUGCGGAGAGGAGGAGGAGGAGGAGAGGUGAGACGGGCUGGCCUGCUCAUAACUUUUUGUCGUUGUAGCCCCUUUCGCGUUCUGUGUUCUUCCUGGGUUGCAUCCGCCCUAUGCACGUGCGCGUGGGCGGUUGCCUCGUAUGCUCACGCGAAUGCUCUGAACCUCCGCCUCUUCCCUUUAUUCGGCGCCUCUCCAUCCUCUUGGCGCUCACUUUCACUAUCCACGCCAGUCGUAUGUGUGUGUCUCGGUACCCCCCCUUUGCUGGAGCUCGUUCUACGGCUAGCACUCAUCAUUUCGCGCUUGCCAUCCUCCCGCCUCGUUCAUGCUUGUGCUGCCAUGCGACUGCGCUUUCUUCGGUGUCGCUGGCCGGCACGUUGACAUUAGCUCUACUGCUCUCUCCUUUUUUUUUGUUCGAUCCGUCUGCAUCUGCCUCCGCCCCGUUUCACAAACCACCACGCACGAAAAG